Coffea arabica (coffee) is the source of this 4473-nucleotide non-coding RNA. NCBI's taxonomy places the organism in Eukaryota, Viridiplantae, Streptophyta, Magnoliopsida, Gentianales, Rubiaceae. The record is from RefSeq and is a predicted model, not a curated record.
AGAUAAUUCCCUGUUUCCCAUCUUUAAAAUUUCUACUACUUAUCAGCUCUCUCUUAGGCAAUUCAACAAACAUAUAGUAGUCAUGCAAGUUAAUAAAUUUUUGCUAUGAUUUCCCCUGCAUUUCACCACUCUUAUGUUUCUUGAAUUUCGUCUCAUAAUUCCUGUAUGGCUGUGAUUAUAGUCUGCUCCUCAACAAUUUGUUGUAGUAAUUUCAGUUGCAGAGGUGCAGCUGAGGCUAUACCAACUGUCAGCAAACCAUACGGUUUAAGUUACAAUGUGCCUUUAGGAGGGACAAAGAUUGGAACUUCGAGGCUUUUCCCAUGUGGGUCUAUGAGGCUUUUCCCAUGUGGGUCUAUGUUGAGGUGGAAGAAAAUCAUGAAAAAGCAAGUGGGUUUUUCUGGGUUUGGAAUAAAAAGUUCAUAUGAUGUUGUGGUUGUCAAUGGAAAACUCAAAAAGAGUAUGUCUCCUGAGGAACUUUUGGGGGUUUUGAAGUCAAAAUCUGACCCAAAUCAAGCCUUUUCUUUCUUCAAAUCCGUUGCUGAAUUGCCUACUGUAGUUCACAAUACAGAGACAUGUAAUUACAUGCUUGAGCUUUUGAGGGUUCAUAAAAGGAUAAAUGACAUGGCUGUGGUGUUUGAUUUGAUGCAAAAGCGGAUAAUAUAUAGGAGUUUGAAUACCUACUUGACUAUAUUUAGAAGUCUUAACAUAAUUGGAGGGAUUCGGGAAGUGGUGGUAGCUAUUGAGAGGAUGCGAAAAGCAGGGUUUGUGUUGAAUGCCUACUCGUAUAAUGGAUUGAUACAUUUGGUUCUUAAAGAAGGGUUUUGGAGGGAAGCUUUAUGGGUAUAUAGAAGGAUGGUCUCAGAAGGGCUCAAGCCUAGUCUUAAAACCUACUCUGCACUGAUGGUGGCAUGUGGGAAGCGAAGGGAUACACAAACAGUCAUGAGGUUGUUGGAGGAGAUGGAGAGCUUAAAAUUGAGACCCAAUGUUUAUACUUUCACCAUUUGUAUUAGGGCACUGGGAAGGGCGGGUAAGAUCAAUGAGGCAUAUGGUAUUCUUACAAAAAUGGAUAAGGAGGGUUGUAUGCCUGAUGUAGUCACUUACACGGUUCUUAUUGAUGCUCUUUGUGAUGCUGGAAAGCUUGACAUUGCAAAAGAAGUUUUUGCAAAGAUGAAAUGUGGAAGGCAAAAACCUGAUCGUGUAACUUACAUCACAUUGCUGGAAAAAUUUGCUGAUCAUGCAGACCUGGAAUCUGUUAGGGAAUAUCUGUGCAAAAUGGAAGCUGAUGGUUAUAAAGGGGAUGUUGUUACUUUCACGAUACUUAUUGAUGCCUUGUGCAAAGUGGGAAAUGUUGAUGAAGCAUUUGCCACUUUGGAAACCAUGAAGGAGAAAGGACUAGCCCCUAAUCUACACACUUACAAUACCUUGAUUGGUGGCCUUCUGAAAGAAAAUAGGUCUGAUCAGGCAUUUGAGCUAUUUGGUAGCUUGGAAUCAUUAGGCGUGCAACAUACUGCAUUCACAUAUAUCCUGUUCAUUGACUACUAUGCAAAAUUAGGUCAAACUGACAAGGCUCUUGAAACUUUUGAGAAGAUGAAAGCUCAUGGAAUUGCUCCAAAUGUUGUCGCUUUCAAUGCAUCUCUGUAUGGCCUAGCAGAAUUGGGUCGGCUUAAGGAGGCAAAAGAUACUUUUAAUGGAAUGAAAAGGAGUGGACUUGUACCUGAUUCCAUCACAUAUAACAUGAUGAUAAAGUGUUUUGCCAAUGCAGGAAAAGUUGAUGAGGCUGUUCAGUUUCUGAAUGAGAUGAUUGAGACUGGCUGUGAUCCAGAUGUUAUCAUUGUCAAUUCUUUAAUUGACAUGCUUUACAAGGCUGAUCGUCCAGAUGAGGCGUGGGCAAUGUUCCGCAGAAUGAAGGAUAUGCGGCUUGUUCCUUCAGUUGUUACGUACAACACUUUGUUGGCUGGACUGAGAAAGGAGGGCAAGUAUAUAGCAGCUUUUCAGUUAUUCGACAGCAUGAGUGCACGUGGCUGUCCUCCCAAUACAAUAACAUUCAAUACUGUUUUGGAUUGUCAUUGCAAGAAUAAUGAGGUUGACUCAGCUGUGAAGAUAGUUUAUCAAAUGACAGAAGUUAAAUGCUAUCCUGAUGUUUUUACGUACAACACAAUCAUUUCUGGGUUAAUUAAAGAAAACAGGUUGAGGGAAGCUUUCUGGUUCUACCAUCAAAUGAGAAAAGUGUUGUACCCUGACUGUGUAACUUUGUGCACUCUCCUCCCUGGUAUCAUGAAAGAGGGUUUGAUUGAUGAUGCUUUUCACAUUGUCAAGGAUUUUGCUCACCAAGUUGAAAGUACAUUAGACAGAUCUUUCUGGGAAAAUCUAAUGGAAGGAACUAUUUGUGAAGCUGAAUUGCAUUACUGCAUUUCAUUUAUGGAAAAGUUACUUUCUGAUUGUCUGUGCAAAAAUGAAUCGAUCAUGGUACCUAUUAUUAAAUUUCAGUGCAAGCAAAAGAAAGUCCUUGAUGCUCAUAAAUUGUUUUUGAAAGUCAGAAGGUCAUUUGGGAUAUUACCGACACUAGAAAUACAUUGUGUCCUAAUUGAUGGCCUUCUUGAAUUUCAUCAUAAAGAAUUGGCUUGGGAACUUUUCUUGGACAUGAAAAAGGCUGGUUGUGCUCCUGAUGUUUCCAUAUACAAUUUGUUGCUUGAUUAUCUUGCGAAGUCAGGAAUGAUUGAUGAACUUUUUGAAUUGUAUGAAGAGAUGCGUCAUAGAGGAUGUACGCCUGAUACUGUAACGCACAACAUACUCAUCUCUGGUCUUGUUAAGGCUGGUGAUGUGUACAAGGCCAUAGAUUUAUACUAUGAUAUGGUAAGUGGAGGCUUUUCUCCCACUCCCUGCACCUAUGGUCCUCUUCUAGAUGGUCUUCUCAAACUUGAAGAUUUGGAUGGAGCAAAGAAAUUGCUUGAGGAAAUGAUUGAUUAUGGAUGCCUACCUAACUCUGCUAUAUACAACAUCCUUAUCAAUGGAUUUGGUAAGGCAGGGGAUGUGGAAAAUGCAAUUUCAUAUUUCAAUAGAAUGCUUAGGGAGGGAAUAAGACCUGACUUGAAAUCUUACACCAUUCUAGUUGAUUGUCUUUGCAUAGCUGGAAAGGUGGAAGAUGCAACUUACUAUUUUGAGGAGUUAAAGUCAUCUGGCCUUGAUCCCGAUUUGGUUUCUUAUAACCUUAUGAUUAACGGACUUGGAAGAUGGGGAAAAAUUCAUGAAGCUUUGGCUCUUUUUAGUGAGAUGCGCAGCAGAGGAAUUUCUCCUAACCUAUAUACCUACAAUUCUCUAAUUCUCAAUCUUGGAGUUCUGGGGAUGUUGGAGGAAGCAGGAAAGAUGUUUGAAGAACUAAAGGUAGCAGGUCUUGAACCGAAUGUUUUCACUUAUAAUGCUCUCAUUAGAGGGUAUAGCAUCUCUGGGAACCCUGAUGGAGCAUAUGAAGUCUUUGAGAAGAUGAUGGUUGGGGGAUGUAGCCCUAACAGUGGGACAUUUGCUCAGCUGCCUAACUAAGUCCAGAUUACAUGCUUAUAGGCGAUGCUAAUGUAGCUUACUUUUCAUCUCCAUCCCUGGGGACACAGCUGCAAGGUAUUGCAGCUCCUCUGAGUCUUUUUACAUCGUGGCAACCUUUGAUCAGUACACCAACAAGGAAACAAUUAAAAGGACAUUACUUCUUGAGUUCUGAUUGAAUGUAUAGAUAUGUGUAUUCUACUUAUGCGAUGUAGUCAGCUAGUUUGACUUCAUCUCAUUUAAAGUUUGUUUUAUCUGUAUACUUGUGUUAUCGAUGCAGGAUUUGAAGAGUAUACUUGUACAGCUUCAUCCUGAUACAGGAUUUGAAGAGUAUACUUGUACAGGAUUUGAAGAGUAAUUACUGGUUGCAAGGGUGUUAUGAUUUCAUGCUGUUGCAGUCAAAUCAUACAGCUUCAUUCUGACUCUAUUUGUUGAUUCAGCUACAAUGCCUUGAAAGGUACAAUUUUAUCUCUGGCUGAAAAUAUGAAGAUAGUAAAAUCAUGUUCAAGUAGCCUAAAUCACAUGCUCCAGUCGGUGUAUAAUCAGAAAGGAAAAUGCACAGUUUUUCACGACCCAAAUCUGUAAUUGCGAUUCAGCAAGAUGAAGUGAAGAAACCAGAACAAAAAUUGAGCUUCUAAGCUCAGUUUCUAUACUUAUAAUAGACGUGGACUCUAUUGGCUUGCUGAAGUGGUAGGAGGGCAACAAAAAAUGGUCACUCGUUCACCCUUCUAUAUGAGUAUAUUAAACACAUAUUGUUUAUUCUAUUCUCUAUAUUGGGACCCUUUUUCUCAGUGUUGGAACUUCAAAUCCAUAUUUAUGUGUCAGCAUAGAAGGGGCAGGGAGGGAAAUAACACAUUCAGAAUGAUUUCCAUUUUCUGUUGUAUUAUCCUGUCUUCCUGGAAUCUAUGAAGCAUCUUAACGUCAAUAUUUGUUGGCUAA